Mustela lutreola (European mink) is the source of this 705-nucleotide long non-coding RNA. RefSeq lists it as uncharacterized. Lineage: Eukaryota; Metazoa; Chordata; Mammalia; Carnivora; Mustelidae. The record is from RefSeq and is a predicted model, not a curated record. The transcript has 2 exons.
GGUCACACUGCUGGGGGCGGGGAGGGAAGCCUGGCACCCAGUGACUAGACAUUCUGCCUCCCAGAGCACAGCCUCUGUCUGAACCCAUAUUUGGGGAACCAAGGAGAGAAGAUGCUGCUAAGUUUAGAAUCUCAAAGCAGCGCUCACAGCCUGUGAACGCAGAUGCAGAUGCGUUCUGGGCUGUUCUAAUGAGAGGACGUUUAUAUAAAGCUGUGGGAAAUGUAGCACUUCCUUGGAUACAAACACAGCCCCGUUACGCAGUGUCUCAGGAUUUUGUCUCAGUGACAGACAUUCGAUCCCUGGAGACCAGCUGACUCUCAAGAAUAUGUGUGAGCUGAGCGACAUCGGAGGGGACAGAAGCCUGUUCUGGGCCGACCCGGGGGUCCUUGGAUUUGGAGAACCACCUACUCCAGAGGAGUAGCUCCCCCAGAAGUGAUCAAACUGGGGUCAGAGGUGCCUGAGGACAGAGGGAGAGAGAGAAUCUUAAGCAGGCUCCACGCCCAGCACGGAGCCUGACAUGGGGCUCGAUUCCACGACCCUGAGAUCGACCUGAGCCAAAAUCAAGAGUCAGAUGCUCAAUCACCUGGGAUCUCCAGGCACCCCUCAAAGGGCUCCCGUAAUCAAAUAUUAUACUCACUCUGGAUCUACUGUCACUCAAAUGCCAAUGUUUAAAGAAUGGUAAUAAAGCACAUCAGUCACUGAAAA